AAAUGAAUAGACGGGGACCCGCACAAGCAGCGGAGCAUGUGGUUUAAUUCGAUGCAACGCGAAGAACCUUACCAAGGCUUGACAUCCUCUGACCGGCGUGGAAACACGCCUUUCCUUCGGGACAGGGAGACAGGUGGUGCAUGGUUGUCGUCAGCUCGUGUCGUGAGAUGUUCGGUUAAGUCCGGCAACGAGCGCAACCCCUAUAAACAGUUGCCAAUAUUAAGUUAGGGACUCUGUUUAGACUGCCGUGGAAUAACACGGAGGAAGGUGGGGACGACGUCAAAUCAUCAUGCCCCUUACGCCUUGGGCUACACACGUGCUACAAUGGGCGCUACAAAGAGCAGCGAACCGGUAACGGUAAGCGAAUCUCAUAAAGGCGUUCUCAGUUCGGAUUGUGGGCUGCAACCCGCCCACAUGAAGAAGGAGUUGCUAGUAAUCCCGAAUCAGAAUGUCGGGGUGAAUGCGUUCCCGGGUCUUGUACACACCGCCCGU
Molecule: ribosomal RNA, 492 nt
Filed under: uncultured bacterium
Lineage: Bacteria
Description: bacterial SSU rRNA
Rfam family: Bacterial small subunit ribosomal RNA
Source: RNAcentral